UUUGUUUUGUAAAAACACAUGACUUUUUUGGGACAUAGCCAACAUUUUUCCUUUUCAAGUAUGCUAUCAAUUUAGCGAACUUCGAGAUGUCAACUUGAUGUUUAAUGUUAAGAGUACUUUUCAAUAUGGAAUAUGUUGACCAUAAUGUACUAGGUUUUUUACUUUCCCCAACUUCACUAAAGUAAGCCAAUACCACGUUUUCGGAAUAAAAAUUCUUUGCUCCUUUUUGAGCGCACCAAUUCUUGUAACUGACAUAUGUUUUUUCAUAUCGGGACUUACUCUUUAUCGGCAACAAAUUACUUGACAAUUUUGCGGCAGCCGCUCUAAGUUCAGGUGGGGUGCUUUCCAAAACACUACAAUCACUAUCUGAUGACAUUUUUAUUUAAAAUAAUGCACCGCCUGCACAAAAGGGAACUGAAAAUGUCAACAGUUUUUCAAUUUUUUAUAUGCAAAGCCUACCAUUAAAAUUAUGGAAGAAGUGAAGUGUAUCCUAAUCCAAUUAAAUAUGGAAUUUGUUAUAUUACAAGGUAGAUUGUGAAUAAAAUAGUAUACAUACACUCGGUGGACGUGGAAUUGCGCCGAUGAGUUAAAAAAAUUGGAGGACUACUUACAUUCAGACGUUGCAAUGAAUAGAUCUGUAAAAGAAAUUGCAUCAUCCGGAGGAAAAACUGUGUACGAUUUAAUUUAUAGAUCGACACAAAAGCUAAUCACAAACAAAUUUGCUUCACAGUACAGCUAUUAUGGCCGCCAAAAGAAGCAGAAGUUUAAUUAAUGCUUUACAACUAAACGAACUGCUCAAAAAAGUGGCUAUGAACAUUUUUCCGUGUUGCACCGAACAAGAAGCUGAGCAGAACAUCGCUAAAUGGCUACGUCGAUGCAUGGAAAGGUCAAAAAAAGAAAAAUGUAUGUAAACGAUUUAAGCUUUUUAUACUUUUUUAUACUUGUAUUGUUAGAUAGGAUUUUUGUUUAAAAUAUGUAUCUUUUUAUUGUAUGUUUUUUUAUACUUAAAAGUUU
Long non-coding RNA from Photinus pyralis (common eastern firefly), 1014 nucleotides. RefSeq lists it as uncharacterized. The transcript has 3 exons. Lineage: Eukaryota; Metazoa; Arthropoda; Insecta; Coleoptera; Lampyridae. The record is from RefSeq and is a predicted model, not a curated record.